AUUCAAAACAUCUGGGGCUGCACGGUGGCUCAUGCCUGUAAUCCCAGCAGUUUGGGAGGUCAACAUGGGUGAAUCACUUGAGGUCAGAAGUUUGGGACCAGCCCAGCCAAUGUGGCCCUGAUCAGGAAGUGAAGACAACAUGACUGUGGAGAAGAGAGCCGGGAAGGGAAGAAGCUCAAUAAUGAGUGCAUUCUAGGCCAGCUUCCCCAGAGCAUCAAGGUUGAUGGAAGAACAUGAGGGGAAGUGGCAUGAGAGCAAGCCCGUGCUCUCCUCUACAGAGACAGAAGCCAGACAUGCCUUUUCCAUGUGCUGAUCUCCAAGUCCCAGCUAGUAGGUCACAUGACAUCACAGUCCUGCUCUUCCUCAAUGGGACUAAGGGCUGAGGGAUCAGUGAGUGCAGAGGUGCCAGCCCAUUUCCACUCCUCCUUAGCGCCAGAAAACCCUGACUGUGACAGCCAUCCCUGAGCCUGCUGGCCAGCUCCCUAGCGGGACAACAUUGAAAGGGAAAGGGUGAAUUCGCUUGUUGUAAGUUUGAAGACUCAACAUGAAACUCACAAAACGCAGCCACAGCAGUGGUUUCAUUAUCAAAACUCCAGCAAGCAUUCCAGCCAGACUAAUUCCCCGCUGGAUUCACUUAAUGUAGAUCCUCACAAACGAUUACAUGUAAACGUGAGAGGCACCCAGUUUGGAUUCCAGACCAGAAGAAAUCCAGGAAUGGAUUUAAAAAGGAAAGCUGGUUCCCAUCUCCCUGGAGAAUUUAUCUUUAUUAAAGAUGCAAAGGAUCCAGUGGAGGUCUCUGAGGCCCUGGGAGAUGGUAGAGCCACACCAUGAAGGUGCCUGGGUCCCUGAAUGACUGCAUGGAGCUCACUCUACAUUGGACUGUGACACAAGCAAGAAAGGUAGACACUUAGGAGUGGAAUUGCUGAGUCAUACAGUAAUUCUAUGUUUAACAUUUUGAGGAGCUGCCAAACUGUUUCCAAAAUGGCUGCAACAUUCUAUAUUUCCAUCAGCAAGAAGGGCCCAUGUGGCAAGGAACUAAGGGCAGUCUCUGGCCAAAAGCCCACAAGUAACUGAAUUCUGCCAAUAACCAUGAGUUUGGAAGUGGAUCCUUCCCCAUUCGAGUCUCAGAUGAGUCCCCAGCCCUGGCCAACAUCUUCAUGUGCUGUGAGAGACCAUUAAGCAGAGGACCCAGCUAAGCUCUGCCCAGAUGCUCAAUCCACAGAAAAAGAUACUAAGUGUGUGUUGUUUUAAGCUGCUACAUUUGCAGUGGUUUGAUAUGCAGCAAUAGAUAACUGAUACUGCUGUUAAUUGCUUUCUAUUACAAUCAGCUGGAAUAACUGCCCUUGUGCCUACAAUCAGAGAUGUAUUUUGGGAUCAAUUCCCAGACCUGAGAUUGUUCAGUCUAAGGGUAAGGAUAUUUAAUGUGGAAAAAUAACACUAAAUUGUCCUCCAAAAAUAUUAUCAAGUGACAAUCAUGCAAACAGUAUGAAAGUUCCUACUUCUCUCCAUGUUCUUGCCAAAUGAAGUGUCAUUGAUCAUUGAAAAAAUAUCAGUUUGAGAAAAAUCAGUACUGCAUUGCUUUGAUUGCAUUUUCCUGAUCACUUAUCAGGGUGAGCAUCUUUUUAACGAAUCCCUUGGCCAUUUAUUUUCCUCUUUCUUUUGAGACUUCUCUCUUGAUAUUUUUAGCUUUUAUCCUAUUUUAAUUGGAUUUCAAUUGGAUUGAACAACUAGAAUGAUAGAAUGAUAUCUGGGGGGCACACAAUGGCCAUUGGUGAUGCUGCUGUUGAUUACCCAAAGUGCUAUCCCAUUUCUUCCUGUGUAUUUACUACUAUUUCUCUUGCAGUUAAUAAGCAAUUUAUGGGAAGAUUCUUUGAGACCAUUCAAAUAUCCUGCACCUCAUUAAAAUAUCCCCCUGGAUUUAGCAGCCUUUGAUGAUUCUUGCCUGAACAAAACUUUAUUAUGGUAGAUGUAAAAUGAAGAUUUUCAUUUCUAGCACUUCUUCCACAUUUACCAGCUACAUUCAGCCUUCUUGUGGAUAAGACUCUCCCCUUUCUCCCAAAUGUUUAUUGUUUUUAUUAGUAUGGACUCACGAUUUCCUGUUCUUCUCAAUGGCCUAUAAUUUAUUACUAUCUUUAAUUAUAUUAGUGCUCAAAUUUUCCCAGUUUGGCCAGUGGGAUCCCCUCCAAGUUGGCUAUUAUUUCCUUGUGACAUACCCACUUUUUCUUUCUUUCUCUUUCUUUUUCUUUCCUUUUAAAACUCACUUCUUUACUUCCUGCUCCAGCCCUGGAAUCAGCCAUUUCUCUGAAAAACUGUGGUUCUUUCAAGUGGACAAAGGUAUUAGAGACCAAAAUUUGGGCACAAGAUAUGCACUUUAACAAGGACCCACUUUAAGUGCAGUUUAGUGAAUUUGAAUGAAUGCAUGAACUUCUGUAACUACUACCACAAUCAAGAUAUAGAGUUUCUGUCACCUCUCAAAGCCUCCUUUUCUUGCUUGCUCAUAUGCAAUUACCUCUGUCCAAAAUGACCCUUUCCCUUUCCUCUACACACUUGGCAAAGCCAUGAUUGAACAUUUAUUCCUUCUUAGAUUUUGUUCCAUUUUCCUCAGCAAAGGUUCUUUGUUUCCUCUUCUUCAUGCUCACAAAAGAGAGAGUAAAAGUGCUUGCUCAACAGUUCUUCAACUGCUCUAAUAAAGAUUGAUUCUCUUACCA
RNAcentral lists this long non-coding RNA (2708 nucleotides) under Homo sapiens (human). RNAcentral describes it as "long independently transcribed non-coding RNA 2030, transcript variant 2 (LINC02030)". The record is from RNAcentral. Lineage: Eukaryota; Metazoa; Chordata; Mammalia; Primates; Hominidae.